RNAcentral lists this ribosomal RNA (491 nucleotides) under uncultured bacterium. RNAcentral's name for it is "partial 16S ribosomal RNA". It matches the Rfam family "Bacterial small subunit ribosomal RNA", at positions 29 to 506 of the family's 1533-position model. The record is from RNAcentral.
AGUGAACGCUGGCGGUAGGCCUAACACAUGCAAGUCGAACGGCAGCACAGUAAGAGCUUGCUCUUACGGGUGGCGAGUGGCGGACGGGUGAGGAAUACAUCGGAAUCUACUUUUUCGUGGGGGAUAACGUAGGGAAACUUACGCUAAUACCGCAUACGACCUACGGGUGAAAGCAGGGGAUCUUCGGACCUUGCGCGAUUGAAUGAGCCGAUGUCGGAUUAGCUAGUUGGCGGGGUAAAGGCCCACCAAGGCGACGAUCCGUAGCUGGUCUGAGAGGAUGAUCAGCAACACUGGAACUGAGACACGGUCCAGACUCCUACGGGAGGCAGCAGUGGGGAAUAUUGGAAAAUGGGCGCAAGCCUGAUCCAGCCAUACCGCGUGGGUGAAGAAGGCCUUCGGGUUGUAAAGCCCUUUUGUUGGGAAAGAAAAGCAGCAGGUUAAUACCCCGCUGUUCUGACGGUACCCAAAGAAUAAGCACCGGCUAACUUCGU